Long non-coding RNA from Suricata suricatta (meerkat), 387 nucleotides. RefSeq lists it as uncharacterized. Lineage: Eukaryota; Metazoa; Chordata; Mammalia; Carnivora; Herpestidae. The transcript has 2 exons. The record is from RefSeq and is a predicted model, not a curated record.
UGGAUGCGACCCGGAACGUUCAACAGGUGGCGGUCGGUCCCCAUCCACAUGUGCAGAACAGCCCAGGAGAGCGUUUCAAAUGGGAGCUCCUGAUUCAGGGUCGCGGCCCGUGCCCGAAGCCCAGUGUUUCCCACCUCGCGACCUCAGGCGGAGUUUGACUUCCAGGUGAAGCUGACCAUGAAGUGAUUGGCACAAAGGAAACAUCUGCCUUGCUCAUGACAGUCGCUCCAGCGGGCAAGGUGGGCACCCAGCCGACCAGACUCGGGAGGCAAGCGGCGGGUCCAAAGUUUACCUUCUUGUAAAAUUCAGGGGAAGCCCAAGGCAAGGUUGAAAUUCUGACUCAUUUUCAAGCGUGGAAAAGGAAAUUAAAAUGUAUGCAGGUUUUAA